Molecule: unclassified non-coding RNA, 309 nt
Filed under: plant metagenome
Description: partial contains 5.8S ribosomal RNA, internal transcribed spacer 2, and large subunit ribosomal RNA
Rfam family: 5.8S ribosomal RNA (bases 1-105)
Source: RNAcentral
GAAAUGCGAUAAGUAAUGUGAAUUGCAGAAUUCAGUGAAUCAUCGAAUCUUUGAACGCACAUUGCGCCCGCCAGUAUUCUGGCGGGCAUACCUGUUCGAGCGUCAUUUCAACCAUCAAGCCCCCGGGCUUGUGUUGGGGACCUGCGGCUGCCGCAGGCCCCGAAAACCAGUGGCGGGCUCGCUGUCACACCGGGCGUAGUAGAUUUUUCGUCUCGCCCAGGGCGUGCUGCGGGUUCCGGCCGUUAAAAAGCCUCUCUUUUAACCCAAGGUUGACCUCGGAUCAGGUAGGAAGACCCGCUGAACUUAAGC